This 275-nucleotide ribosomal RNA is filed under the name uncultured bacterium. RNAcentral describes it as "partial 16S ribosomal RNA". It matches the Rfam family "Bacterial small subunit ribosomal RNA", at positions 399 to 691 of the family's 1533-position model. The record is from RNAcentral.
GCGUGAAUGAUGAAGGCCUUAGGGUUGUAAAAUUCUUUCAGUAGGGAAGAUAAUGACGGUACCUACAAAAGAAGCCCCGGCUAACUCCGUGCCAGCAGCCGCGGUAAUACGGAGGGGGCUAGCGUUGUUCGGAAUUACUGGGCGUAAAGCGCUCGUAGGCGGAUUGGUCAGUCAGAGGUGAAAGCCCAGGGCUCAACCCUGGAAUUGCCUUUGAUACUGCCAGUCUUGAGUUCAGGAGAGGUAAGCGGAAUUCCGAGUGUAGAGGUGAAAUUCGU